Molecule: ribosomal RNA, 822 nt
Filed under: uncultured bacterium
Lineage: Bacteria
Description: bacterial SSU rRNA
Rfam family: Bacterial small subunit ribosomal RNA
Source: RNAcentral
AACGAACGCUGGCGGCAGGCCUAACACAUGCAAGUCGAACGCUCGUAGCAAUACGAGAGUGGCAGACGGGUGCGGAACACGUGGGAACAUACCCUUUGGUUUGGAAUAACUCAGGGAAACUUGAGCUAAUACCGGAUAAGCCCGUAAGGGGAAAGAUUUAUCGCCGAAGGAUUGGCCCGCGUCCGAUUAGCUAGUUGGUGAGGUAAUGGCUCACCAAGGCGACGAUCGGUAGCUGGUCUGAGAGGAUGAUCAGCCACAUUGGGACUGAGACACGGCCCAAACUCCUACGGGAGGCAGCAGUGGGGAAUAUUGGACAAUGGGCGCAAGCCUGAUCCAGCCAUGCCGCGUGAGUGAUGACGGCCCUAGGGUUGUAAAGCUCUUUCACCCACGACGAUAAUGACGGUAGUGGGAGAAGAAGCCCCGGCUAACUUCGUGCCAGCAGCCGCGGUAAUACGAAGGGGGCUAGCGUUGUUCGGAUUUACUGGGCGUAAAGCGCGCGUAGGCGGAUCUUUAAGUCAGGGGUGAAAUGCCGGGGCUCAACUUCGGAACUGCCUUUGAUACUGGAGAUCUUGAGUUCGGGAGGGGUGAGUGGAACUGCGAGUGUAGAGGUGAAAUUCGUAGAUAUUCGCAAGAACACCAGUGGCGAAGGCGGCUCACUGGCCCGAUACUGACGCUGAGGCGCGAAAGCGUGGGGAGCAAACAGGAUUAGAUACCCUGGUAGUCCACGCCGUAAACGAUGGAUGCUAGCCGUUAGGCAGCUUGCUGCUUAGUGGCGCAGCUAACGCUUUAAGCAUCCCCCUGGGGAGUACGGUCGCAAGAUUA